Nothobranchius furzeri (turquoise killifish) is the source of this 5192-nucleotide non-coding RNA. The record is from RefSeq and is a predicted model, not a curated record. NCBI's taxonomy places the organism in Eukaryota, Metazoa, Chordata, Actinopteri, Cyprinodontiformes, Nothobranchiidae.
UGAGGGUGUAGCUAGGAGUAGAUAAGAAGAUAUUUUUCUGCAACAUUAAUAUUGCCAUAAAUCCACAUAGUCAGAUCAAGUAAAUAACAAAAUUUCAAUGGGUCAUAUCUGCUCUGCAUAACUAAAUCAGCAUCUGAAUCUUCACUUCAACUCAACCUCAAAUCCUGAGAAAGCAUGGUACAAUUGGUGACAGUAGAGAGAAAUGACAGGAAGAAACAAUGAGACUAACCCCGGCUUUCCACAGGAGCCGUCAGCAGCACGUUACUGCAGCAGCACGUCAUAGCUGCUGAUAGGAACCGCUGUGGUCAACAGAACCUUUUCCACUGGAGCCGUCAGCAGCGCGAGUCGGCCGCGUCUCAGGAGCAGCAUGCACUUGUCCUGCUCAGAUGGGACUAAAAGCCUUUUGCAGGAGCCUGUUUGUCGAGAGAUGAAGACCUUUACGAAAUUCCCGAAGAAGCUACAGUGAUGUUCUGCUGAGCUGUGGUGGCCUCAUGGAGGGGGCCAUCAGCUUGAACACUGCUACUAACCACUUAAACAUUCUCCCUCUCCUGAUAAUAACAUUUUACUUUCUUUGACACUGAAUGUGCUACUACUAGUUUACCCGUCUAAUUAUAGAUUCACUAGGAUAAAUACAAUAAAGUUUAUCUCUCACCAAAUAGAAUAUUUACUAAGAAGUCACAAUGUAACCAUAGAAACACUACUUGGUACAUGUGUGUGUGAUGUGUGUUUGUGUGUGGGUGGGCUGGUGUUGGUGUAUGCGUGUGUCUGCUCUGUCUUCUCGAUCCCCAGUGAAUCGUGGUGGAUGGCUGCUUAUACUGAGCCAGGAUCCUCUGGAGGUUUAUUCCUGUUAAAGUGAGUUUUCCUCUCCACUGUCGCUAGUUUGAGGAUUGCUGUAAAGUCACACACCAGUCAGUGACUUGAUGCAGUUUGCUGGGUUCCUUAUAUAGGAAACUUUUUUCUGAUUGGCUUAAUGAACUGGGGUCUCAUUUUUCAAACAUUGCGUAGAAUCCUUACUAAAACCGUACUUAAGCUCAGAAAAAAAAGUACUUAGGCCAAGCAGGUUUGCAAUCUAUCAAACAUGGAGUACGCACAGCUGCACACAAUCUCUGCUUCAUAAAUCGGAGACUAAGGAGAAUGUUUCUCAGCUGCAUUUUAGUCACAUCCCGCCCUCACCAUGCCCACUUACUGCCAUAAAUAGUCAAUGCAAAGUGCCUUGCGGAUCUCAUGCAUAUACAUAAGCCGGCUUGUUGCAGCGCUCCGCCAAUGACGAUGGCAACCGUAGAUCAAGGCAGAUCAAGGGAAUUUCAUGAGCAGAAAUUCAGGUACGUGUGAGUGAGGUGGAGAAAUGAAAGGAAGCGCUUUUGCAAAACAAAUAAGAGAAAAUCCACGAAGUGGCACAGAGUUGCUGAAGCCGCCAAUGUUGUGAAUUCUUCAGAGAGAUCUGUGGCGGAUUUAAAAAAGAUGGUCCAUUCAGGAUUCGAUCCCCAGACUCCAGGGUGAAAGUCACACGUGCUAACCAGUCAGCCAAAUGGAGAUCUCCCCUGUACAAGUAGCCAGGGUGCAUGAUCAAUCAAGUCACAGUGACAGGACACACACACUGUCAAGGAUGCAUGACGUUCCGUCUCAAUCUGUCCCCCUGACCCCCUUAUCCUUCUCAGCAGCAGCACUGCAGGUGUUCUCCAUGUCCAAAAUGUGCGUGAGCCAGGUCCUUAGUCAACUUAAAGUUGCGCACAUUUUUCUGCUAAGUUUUCUUUCAUAAAUCCCAAAAUUUGCGUGGAAAGUUGCUUACGCAGUUUUCCGACCCCGUUUUGUGCGUAAGCAAGCUUGAUAAAUGAGGUCCCUGACCUGUAUUGGAAUGUUUACUAUGUGAAGUGCCUUGAGACGACUCUUGUCGUGGUUUGGUGCUAUAGAAAUAAACUUGAGUUGAAUUGAAUUGAAUUUCCUUUGUUGUAUGGAAGCAUUGUCAUCGAAGAAUAAGUGCAAUUUGUAUUAAAGCUAUAGUUUUUUUAAAGUGAUCAAAUGAAUUUUCUGUUCUCUUCAACAUGAAAGGAUGAAAAAUGACUACUAGGAGAAAAUCUGGAGGUCAAUAAUGAUAAAGUGUGUGAGCACAAUGUGUUUAUCUACACCUUUGCUGCAGGGAUUUGUCACGACAACCUCACUACAUGACCACCGACAUCAUUUCAACAUUCUGCAGCAUUAGCAUUUUAGAUGAAGAAUCUGUUUACUCCAGCGCUCAGAUGUAAACAAGGAGCUCUAAUCGUCCAUCACUCGACAGACUAAUUAUGAGCAUUUAUCCAACAUAAACAAACAUGUGAGAGAUGGUUACAUGCUUUGAAUAAGACAGGCUUUGAUCCGUGUUUCUGUGUGUUUCUGUGGAACUACGAUGGAGAGGAAGUUUGUUGGGUUUGUUGGCUUGGAUUAAGAACACAGACAGAGAGAAAAGUGAGGGAGGAUGGUAAGAGAGGGGGAGUGCAGACGUUUGAAAAGUGAGAUCAUACAUGGGACAUUUCACUGUUUGAUGUUUGAUUCACUAAUCUGUUGGAUAAACACAGCUCUGCUUUGUUGACACAUAUUUGGAGUAUCAAAUGAACUAAUUUUCGUUUUUAGAACCACUAUUUCAUAAUCAUGGUGGAACUAAUUAUCAAUUAAUAGAAGUUUUUGGUUGCAAUUUAUAGAUUCAGCACCAGGAUGAAAGAAAAAUCUUGUUUAAGAAUUUUAGUUUUUGAAUCUAAAAACUGUUAUAUAAGGUAAUUUGACAAUUUCUUGAAUGCAUUUUACUAAUUAUAUCAGGAUUUUUGCUCAUUAAUCUUUUCAAAUUUCCAGGUUCUUAAUUUGAUUGAAAUUUUCACAAAUGUUCAUAAAUCCGUUUGCUACUGAGCUCAAAUUUGGUGUCAAAUAUCAAAACACCUAAAGAUCCCACAAACCAGUGGAGAGAUUUGAAUUUAUAUUUUCAACUGUCAACUUCGGUAAUUACCCCCAUUUACAAUAUCUGCUACAGCUAAUCAGUAUUAGCAAACAACAAAUGACUCUCGCUUGAAAUUUUACAAACACUGAGCAGAAUGCAUUAACAGAUUGCACAAGCUGACUCAUAAGAUUAUUCCAAAAUUCCACCAAUAUUUUAAACAUUUUUAACAUGAAAUAAGUUAAAUUCUUAUAAUUUUCACAUUUUUUCCACAUUUUCCUUUUAAGACUGCUCUACCAACUGGUUUUGAAUCCUUUUAACUUAAUAAAUUCUAUAUGAUGCAAAACCUCUUGGAUGUCUUAAUUGCUGCACACAGAGAAUAAAAAAGGAGUCUGGUAUUUUAAACAUGAGGAGCAGCAGUGGUUUUGUCUCUAUGGAAGCUUCCUCACUACUCUCCCAAAAACCUUGCGAUUAGGAUCCCGACUGAGUAACGAACUACAACCAUCGACCUAUAUACUGGACAAUGUGUUUCCAUAGACUCCAAUAAUACGUUUUUAAGCCAAAAUGGGAGGUGGCCACCACCACCAUUUUGACAGUGUCACAGGUUCUGCCAAGCCCAGACAAUUCCACAAAAGGGAAAAGAGGUGGAGCUGAGGGUGGGACUGUAAGGAUGGGAUCAAAUGACGACACCCAUUGAACUAAAACGAUGUAGCUACAAGCUAACCCAAAGCUAACGCGGAGGUGGGAGCUAAGCUAACAGAGGUAGCUACCUAGCUACAACCGGAGCUAACUGUGCAUGACACCAGAGCUUCUGGGUCACAGAUGCGCCGGGCUGACCGCUGGGUAAAACCGGGCAGAACACAGAGGUCUCCCGAGAGUUCCACAAGCCGGCAGCCGUGCAGCAGACAGGAGCCGCUGCGAUCAGAGAUGCGUUGAGCUGCCGCUAUAAGUCCACACCGAUAGUUGGAACCCAGCUCCACCAACAUGUUAUAUUUCAACCCAUUUUCAAAAAUGCAGCAUUAUGCUAAAUGCACUGGGUUUUACCCUAUUAAAUUUAAAUUUCAUGGUUAAACAGUACAUGUGAAAAUCUAAGCACAGCUAGUGCAAGAGCGGCAGUGACCUAAAAUACAUAAAUAUAAUUUUACUUACUGAAAAAAAUGAAGUGGAGACUCCUUGGAUGCUCUAUUAGUGCAAUUAAUACCACAGCAAGUCAUUUAGUCCAACAAUUGCACAAAUAUUAUCCAAAAAAGAACACACAAACGCUACAACUAAUGGUCUAAGUUGAGAGACUGAAAAUCGCGGAACAGUUUUCAGGCGAGGCCGAGGCUCAGGCUGAGGCCUUUCCCCAGAGCUAGCUCUGUGGUCACGUGGGCCUGAAACUCAUGAAUUAUUCAGAAUUUUAGUCAUUUAAUACACCUAAACAGAAGAGUGACAAAAAAUUCCCACACCCUCAGAGUUGUCAUGAGUGUAAACUAGAUCUAUUAAACCUAAAACAUGUUUUGGUACCAGGCUGUAAACAUGUUUAUUUCUGCUGUGAAAUUGGUAUUUUUAACAUGGGAGUCAAUGAGGAUUUGCUCGCUUCUGACACCAGCCCCCAGCGGAUGAGGGUGGAACUGCAAUUUUUGUUACUUCCGUAUUGGCUUCAAUUUCAGACCCGAAUUAUGGGGGCUUCCCUACAACUAGAGUGCAAAUAAAGUUGAUAGGGGAGUUAGCUGUUCACCAAACAUAGUGGAAUCAAAGGUGUGUGUUAAAGUGUUUCCACCAGAGAGUCAGGCAGGAUAAUGAGUUUAGAGUGGAAAGAGGAACAGUAAAAAAAAAACGGGAAAACAAAUCAAUGAUAUUCCAUGACUGGGAACUGAUGUAAUCAAGUCAAACCAAUGCUAUUAAAUUUACCAGUCUUUUCACCAAUAUGAAUGCAUAAACUGUAGAAUCAGGAAAGACUUGGGUCUGAAUAAUAAACUGUUUUGUGUAUCGUGUUGUAUCAUAUAACAGCGGCCUUGUUAGGUGUUUCAUACCACAUUCAGGUGUGGUGACUCUCUGAGGUGUGCUUGUCCUCUCAGUUAUCAGGCCUGUCAGUGACACAUCUAGCUCACAGGUGCAGAGAAUAAAACUACAGGUGAAACUCAAAAAAUUAGAUUGUUGUAUGAAAGUUCAUUCAGUAAUUCAAGGUAAAAGGUGAAACUAAAGUCUUUAUUUGUUAUAUUUAGGAUGAUUGUGGCUUACAUCUAAUAAAAUGAAAUACCCAAACUCAAAAUCUCAGACAUUUAAAAUUUUGUGAAUAGGUUCAAUG